This 29-nucleotide non-coding RNA is filed under the name Mus musculus (house mouse). Lineage: Eukaryota; Metazoa; Chordata; Mammalia; Rodentia; Muridae. The record is from RNAcentral.
UUGUGUUUAGAGGGCUCUGAUUCUUCAGU